Molecule: long non-coding RNA, 429 nt
Filed under: Homo sapiens (human)
Lineage: Eukaryota; Metazoa; Chordata; Mammalia; Primates; Hominidae
Description: HSALNT0012342
Source: RNAcentral
UGGUCAGUCUACUCUGCCGGCAAACAGAUGUUGGGGUGGGGGCAGGUGAGGUGCUCUGCCCUCUGCUUCAUCCCUGCCUUCUGCCCUUACCCCUAAGAUCCACCAGGAUGGCAUAAGUGAAGAAGGAGAGAGGAAGAGCCUCAGGCUGGGACACUCUGGCUGCUACCAGGCUCCAGCAUGGGGAAUUUUAACCUCCGUGAAGCCUGCUGGACUGCUGUCUCAAGACCAGGUGGUGAUAAAGCUCACAACGGCUGCUGACGGUCUUCCGGCCCCGUGAUGAUGUCUGCUUUGUUCUUGGUCUCUUUCAGGAAUAUUUCAAUGCGUGUUUUGCUACCCCACCCCCAAUCCAGGACACUGCAACCUGUCAUGAAUGAAGAGUGGCUGGUCACAUGGCCCGGUCACCAUGGCGACGGAUCCCCGCAGACGAGG